This 405-nucleotide long non-coding RNA is filed under the name Rattus norvegicus (Norway rat). RNAcentral describes it as "long non-coding RNA NONRATT005543". Lineage: Eukaryota; Metazoa; Chordata; Mammalia; Rodentia; Muridae. The record is from RNAcentral.
GAUGUGUUUUCUCUCCAAACGAUUAGAGUUAUGGAGAUGAAUAGGUAUUAGGAGAAAUAUUUAAUAUUGUUGAACUAUGGGUGUUAGUGUCCAGGCACUUCCACUGACCUGUUCACAGGGACCUAGCAAUUGCUUCCUCCCUUACCUGAUGCUACCACCAGGUGCUCCAACUGUGCUGGAGAUAGAAAAAUUCACCAGACACCCGAGCUCUCUGUCUGUUCUCUGUGGUCCCUCUCAUGGUUCCCUGCAUCAGUCUUUCCUUCUCUCUCCCUCUCUGCCCCAUUUCUCUGGCCUCGUGACUCUGUUCCCUCACUGUCUGCCUGUUAACAUGUCUACUUGUGUGCCUCCAUCCCUUCCCUGGGUCCUCACUCCUCUCCCCUCCCCCAAUAAACCUCUUUUACACCA